RNAcentral lists this ribosomal RNA (253 nucleotides) under uncultured bacterium. RNAcentral describes it as "partial 16S ribosomal RNA". It matches the Rfam family "Bacterial small subunit ribosomal RNA", at positions 524 to 776 of the family's 1533-position model. The record is from RNAcentral.
UACAGAGGGGGCGAGCGUUGUUCGGAAUUACUGGGCGUAAAGGGCGCGUAGGCGGCCUCUUAAGUCGAACGUGAAAUCCCCGGGCUCAACCCGGGAACUGCGUCCGAUACUGGGAGGCUUGAAUCCGGGAGAGGGAUGUGGAAUUCCAGGUGUAGCGGUGAAAUGCGUAGAUAUCAGGAAGAACACCCGUGGCGAAGGCGGCUCUCUGGAACGCAACUGACGCUGAGACGCGAAAGCGUGGGGAGCAAACAGG